RNAcentral lists this ribosomal RNA (491 nucleotides) under uncultured bacterium. RNAcentral's name for it is "partial 16S ribosomal RNA". It matches the Rfam family "Bacterial small subunit ribosomal RNA", at positions 29 to 506 of the family's 1533-position model. The record is from RNAcentral.
AGUGAACGCUGGCGGUAGGCCUAACACAUGCAAGUCGAACGGCAGCACAGUAAGAGCUUGCUCUUACGGGUGGCGAGUGGCGGACGGGUGAGGAAUACAUCGGAAUCUACUUUUUCGUGGGGGAUAACGUAGGGAAACUUACGCUAAUACCGCAUACGACCUACGGGUGAAAGCAGGGGAUCUUCGGACUUUGCGCGAUUGAAUGAGCCGAUGUCGGAUUAGCUAGUUGGCGGGGUAAAGGCCCACCAAGGCGACGAUCCGUAGCUGGUCUGAGAGGAUGAUCAGCCACACUGGAACUGAGACACGGUCCAGACUCCUACGGGAGGCAGCAGUGGGGAAUAUUGGACAAUGGGCGCAAGCCUGAUCCAGCCAUACCGCGUGGGUGAAGAAGGCCUUCGGGUUGUAAAGCCCUUUUGUUGGGAAAGAAAAGCAGCAGGUUAAUACCCCGCUGUUCUGACGGUACCCAAAGAAUAAGCACCGGCUAACUUCGU